Molecule: ribosomal RNA, 368 nt
Filed under: uncultured phototrophic eukaryote
Lineage: Eukaryota
Description: SSU rRNA
Rfam family: Bacterial small subunit ribosomal RNA
Source: RNAcentral
UACGGGGGAUGCAAGCGUUAUCCGGAUUUAUUGGGCGUAAAGCGCCUGUAGGUUGUUUAAUAAGUCUGUUGUUAAAGACUAGGGCUUAACCCUGGGAAAGCAAUGGAAACUACUAGACUAGAGUAUGAUAGGGGUAGAGGGAAUUUCUAGUGUAGCGGUGAAAUGCGUAGAUAUUAGGAAGAACACCGGUGGCGAAGGCGCUCUACUGGAUCAUUACUGACACUCAGAGGCGAAAGCUAGGGUAGCAAAAGGGAUUAGAUACCCCUGUAGUCCUAGCCGUAAACGAUGGAUACUAGAUGUUGUGUUCUUAUGCAGUAUCGUAGCUAACGCGUUAAGUAUCCCGCCUGGGGAGUACGCUCGCAAGGGUG